RNAcentral lists this ribosomal RNA (435 nucleotides) under uncultured bacterium. RNAcentral's name for it is "bacterial SSU rRNA". It matches the Rfam family "Bacterial small subunit ribosomal RNA", at positions 275 to 703 of the family's 1533-position model. The record is from RNAcentral.
UACGACGGGUAGCUGGUCUGAGAGGAUGGCCAGCACACUGGAACUGAGACACGGUCCAGACUCCUACGGGGAGGCAGCAGUGGGAAUCUUGCGCAAUGGACGAAAGUCUGACGCAGCGACGCCGCGUGGGUGACGAAGGCCUUCGGUUGCAAAGCCCUGUGGGGAGAGACGAACCGGCAUCUGGCUAACAUCCAGGUGCUCUGACGGUAUCUCCUUAGCAAGCAUCGGCUAACUCUGUGCCAGCAGCCGCGGUAAGACAGAGGAUGCAAACGUUGCUCGGAAUUACUGGGCGUAAAGCGCGCGCAGGCGGUCCCGUAAGUCGGGUGUGAAAGCCCCGGGCUCAACCCGGGAAGUGCACUCGAUACUGCGAGACUGGAGUACUGGAGAGGAGAGCGGAAUUCUCGGUGUAGAGGUGAAAUUCGUAGAUAUCGGGAG